This 460-nucleotide ribosomal RNA is filed under the name uncultured bacterium. Its description in RNAcentral is "partial 16S ribosomal RNA". It matches the Rfam family "Bacterial small subunit ribosomal RNA", at positions 338 to 795 of the family's 1533-position model. The record is from RNAcentral.
CCUACGGGUGACUGCAGUGAGGAAUAUUGGUCAAUGGAUGAGAGUCUGAACCAGCCAAGUAGCGUGAAGGAUGACUGCCCUAUGGGUUGUAAACUUCUUUUAUAUGGGAAUAAAAUGUUCCACGUGUGGGAUUUUGUAUGUACCAUAUGAAUAAGGAUCGGCUAACUCCGUGCCAGCAGCCGCGGUAAUACGGAGGAUCCGAGCGUUAUCCGGAUUUAUUGGGUUUAAAGGGAGCGUAGGUGGAUUGUUAAGUCAGUUGUGAAAGUUUGCGGCUCAACCGUAAAAUUGCAGUUGAAACUGGCAGUCUUGAGUACAGUAGAGGUGGGCGGAAUUCGUGGUGUAGCGGUGAAAUGCUUAGAUAUCACGAAGAACUCCGAUUGCGAAGGCAGUUCACUGGACUGCAACUGACACUGAGGCUCGAAAGUGUGGGUAUCAAACAGGAUUAGAUACCCGAGUAGUC